CAUGCAAGUCGAGCGCGCCUUCGGGCGAGCGGCGGACGGGUUAGUAACGCGUGGGAACGUGCCCAGAUCUACGGAAUAGCCACUGGAAACGGUGAGUAAUACCGUAUACGCCCUUCGGGGGAAAGAUUUAUCGGAUUUGGAUCGGCCCGCGUUAGAUUAGGUAGUUGGUGGGGUAACGGCCUACCAAGCCUACGAUCUAUAGCUGGUUUUAGAGGAUGAUCAGCAACACUGGGACUGAGACACGGCCCAGACUCCUACGGGAGGCAGCAGUGGGGAAUCUUGGACAAUGGGGGCAACCCUGAUCCAGCCAUGCCGCGUGAGUGAAGAAGGCCCUAGGGUCGUAAAACUCUUUCGCCUGUGAUGAUAAUGACAGUAGCAGGUAAAGAAACCCCGGCUAACUCCGUGCCAGCAGCCGCGGUAAUACGGAGGGGGUUAGCGUUGUUCGGAAUUACUGGGCGUAAAGCGCACGUAGGCGGAUUAGAAAGUUAGAGGUGAAAUCCCGGGGCUCAACCCCGGAACUGCCUUUAAAACUACUAGUCUAGAGUUCGAGAGAGGUGAGUGGAAUUCCGAGUGUAGAGGUGAAAUUCGUAGAUAUUCGGA
This 600-nucleotide ribosomal RNA is filed under the name uncultured Alphaproteobacteria bacterium. Its description in RNAcentral is "bacterial SSU rRNA". It matches the Rfam family "Bacterial small subunit ribosomal RNA", at positions 54 to 702 of the family's 1533-position model. Lineage: Bacteria; Pseudomonadati; Pseudomonadota; Alphaproteobacteria. The record is from RNAcentral.